AUACGGAAGGUCCGGGCGUUAUCCGGAUUUAUUGGGUUUAAAGGGAGCGCAGGCGGAGAUGCAAGCGUGACGUCAAAUUUCGGGGCUCAACCCCGUCUCGCGUCGCGAACUGCGUCCCUUGGUUGCGGGAAGGGGAGGCGGAACUCGUGGUGUAGCGGUGAAAUGCAUAGAUAUCACGAAGAACUCCGAUCGCGAAGGCAGCCUUCCGGCCCGUCAACGACGCGCAUGCUCGAAGGUGCGGGUAUCAAACAGGAUUAGAUACCCUGGUAGUCCGCACAGUAAACGAUGGACACCCGCGGUUUGGCCUAUAUGGCUGAGCCGCCAAGCGAAAGCGUUAAGUGUCCCACCUGGGGAGUACGCCGGCAACGGUGAAACUCAAAUGAAUUGGCGGGG
Molecule: ribosomal RNA, 393 nt
Filed under: uncultured bacterium
Lineage: Bacteria
Description: partial 16S ribosomal RNA
Rfam family: Bacterial small subunit ribosomal RNA
Source: RNAcentral